This 494-nucleotide ribosomal RNA is filed under the name uncultured bacterium. RNAcentral's name for it is "partial 16S ribosomal RNA". It matches the Rfam family "Bacterial small subunit ribosomal RNA", at positions 28 to 507 of the family's 1533-position model. The record is from RNAcentral.
GACGAACGCUGGCGGCGCGCUUAACACAUGCAAGUCGAACGGAAAGGCCUGCUUUCCCUUGUGGAUUGCGUGUACGCGAGUGGCGAACGGGUGAGUAACACGUCAGUGAUCUGCCCCCAACUUGGGUAUAAGCCUGGGAGACAGUGUCGAAUUCCCGAUAGGACUGCAGGGUGGUGCAUGUGGUGGAAAACGAUCUGCUAGUGGUAGGGGAUGAGCUCGCGGCCUAUCAGCUUGUUGGUGGGGUAAUGGCCUACCAAGGCGGCGACGGGUCGCCGGCCUGAGAGCGUGGACGGUCACACUGGGACUGGGUCCCGGCCCCUACGCGUGCCGGCGGCAGCAGUGGUGACUCUUGGGGCGUGGGCGUAAGGCUGCUGCGGCGACGCCGCGUGGAGGAUGUCGGCAUUCGAGUUGUAAGCUCCUUUCGACGGCGAGGAAGCCAACUGGUUGGGCGCGUGGUGACGGUAGUGGUAGAAGAAGCCCCGGCUAACUACGUG